CCCUUAGAUGUUCUGGGCCGCACGCGCGCUACACUGACGAAUGCAACGAGCUUAUAACCUUGGCCGAAAGGUCUGGGUAAUCUCCAAAUUUCGUCGUGAUGGGGAUAGAUUAUUGCAAUUAUUAAUCUUCAACGAGGAAUGCCUAGUAAGCGCAAGUCAUCAGCUUGCGUUGAUUACGUCCCUGCCCUUUGUACACACCGCCCGUCGCACCUACCGAUUGAAUGGUCCGGUGAAAUCUUCGGAUCUGAGAGAUGUUGGAUUAAUUUCUGACGCCUUUUGGAAAAGUCGCUUAAACCUUAUCAUUUAGAGGAAGGUGAAGUCGUAACA
RNAcentral lists this ribosomal RNA (327 nucleotides) under uncultured eukaryote. RNAcentral describes it as "partial 18S ribosomal RNA". It matches the Rfam family "Eukaryotic small subunit ribosomal RNA", at positions 1470 to 1796 of the family's 1831-position model. The record is from RNAcentral.